RNAcentral lists this ribosomal RNA (506 nucleotides) under uncultured bacterium. Its description in RNAcentral is "partial 16S ribosomal RNA". It matches the Rfam family "Bacterial small subunit ribosomal RNA", at positions 29 to 523 of the family's 1533-position model. The record is from RNAcentral.
AGUGAACGCUGGCGGUAGGCCUAACACAUGCAAGUCGAACGGCAGCACAGGAGAGCUUGCUCUCUGGGUGGCGAGUGGCGGACGGGUGAGGAAUACAUCGGAAUCUACUUUUUCGUGGGGGAUAACGUAGGGAAACUUACGCUAAUACCGCAUACGACCUACGGGUGAAAGCAGGGGAUCUUCGGGCCUUGCGCGAUUGAAUGAGCCGAUGUCGGAUUAGCUAGUUGGCGGGGGAAAGGCCCACCAAGGCGACGAUCCGUAGCUGGUCUGAGAGGAUGACCAGCCACACUGGAACUGAGACACGGUCCAGACUCCUACGGGAGGCAGCAGUGGGGAAUAUUGGACAAUGGGCGCAAGCCUGAUCCAGCCAUACCGCGUGGGUGAAGAAGGCCUUCGGGUUGUAAAGCCCUUUUGUUGGGAAAGAAAUCCAGCUGGCUAAUACCCGGUUGGGAUGACGGUACCCAAAGAAUAAGCACCGGCUAACUUCGUGCCAGCCGCCGCGGUAA